GCAGGGGAUCGCAAGACCUUGCGCUGAUUGAGCGGCCGAUAUCAGAUUAGCUUGUUGGUGAGGUAAAAGCCCACCAAGGCGACGAUCUGUAGCGGGUCUGAGAGGAUGAUCCGCCACACUGGAACUGAGACACGGUCCAGACUCCUACGGGAGGCAGCAGUGGGGAAUUUUGGACAAUGGGGGCAACCCUGAUCCAGCCAUGCCGCGUGAGUGAAGAAGGCCUUCGGGUUGUAAAGCUCUUUCAGCCGGGAAGAAAACGCAUGGGUUAAUACCCUGUGUGGAUGACGGUACCGGAAUAAGAAGCACCGGCUAACUACGUGCCAGCAGCCACGGUAAUACGUAGGGUGCGAGCGUUAAUCGGAAUUACUGGGCGUAAAGCGUGCGCAGGCGGUUUUGUAAGACAGGCGUGAAAUCCCCGGGCUUAACCUGGGAACUGCGUUUGUGACUGCAAGGCUAGAGUACGGCAGAGGGGGGUGGAAUUCCACGUGUAGCAGUGAAAUGCGUAGAGAUGUGGAGGAACACCAAUGGCGAAGGCAGCCCCCUGGGUCGAUACUGACGCUCAUGCACGAAAGCGUGGGUAGCAAACAGGAUUAGAUACCCUGGUAGUCCACGCCCUAAACGAUGUCAACUAGGUGUUGGGAGGGUAAAACCUUUUAGUACCGGAGCUAACGCGUGAAGUUGACCGCCUGGGGAGUACGGCCGCAAGGUUAAAACUCAAAGGAAUUGACGGGGACCCGCACAAGCGGUGGAUGAUGUGGAUUAAUUCGAUGCAACGCGAAAAACCUUACCUACCCUUGACAUGCCAAGAACUUUCCAGAGAUGGAUUGGUGCCCGAAAGGGAACUUGGACACAGGUGCUGCAUGGCUGUCGUCAGCUCGUGUCGUGAGAUGUUGGGCUAAGUCCCGCAACGAGCGCAACCCUUGUCGUUAAUUGCCAUCAUUUAGUUGGGCACUUUAACGAGACUGCCGGUGACAAACCGGAGGAAGGUGGGGAUGACGUCAAGUCCUCAUGGCCCUUAUGGGUAGGGCUUCACACGACAUACAAUGGUCGGUACAAAGGGUCGCCAAGCCGCGAGGUGGAGCCAAUCCCAGAAAGCCGAUCGUAGUCCGGAUCGCAGUCUGCAACUCGACUGCGUGAAGUCGGAAUCGCUAGUAAUCGUGGAUCAGAAUGUCACGGUGAAUACGUUCCCGGGUCUUGUACACACCGCCCGUCACACCAUGGGAGCGGGUUCCGCCAGAAGUAGGUAGCCUAACCGCAAGGAGGGCGCUUACCACGGCGGGGUUCGUGACUGGGGUGAAGUCGAAACAAGGUA
This 1312-nucleotide ribosomal RNA is filed under the name metagenome. Its description in RNAcentral is "bacterial SSU rRNA". It matches the Rfam family "Bacterial small subunit ribosomal RNA", at positions 196 to 1498 of the family's 1533-position model. The record is from RNAcentral.